RNAcentral lists this long non-coding RNA (1425 nucleotides) under Cottoperca gobio. RNAcentral's name for it is "lncRNA (ENSCGOG00000000541.1)". Lineage: Eukaryota; Metazoa; Chordata; Actinopteri; Perciformes; Bovichtidae. The record is from RNAcentral.
GUGGUUGCUCUCUAGGCGAGUCACCGUAGCGCCAUGCAGCACACAGAGGAAGUACCACACAACAAUGAAGAAUAUGGGACCUGCAAUCCUUCCUUCAGCUUCUCAGAUAAUCCUGGCAUCUACACCCACCAAGACCUCCCCUCCUGCCGGGGGCCCGUUCCACCCAGAACGACCGCUGCACUCGACACCAGCUUCAUCCCCACUGAAACUGCUCUCAGCCCUGUGAUCUUCAAUAACAAUGUUUUUACACCACCCAAAAGGUCGUCUAGUUUGCCAACCUUUAACUCAGCCGCUGUGGAUGUGAGCCCCACACAUAUGGCUCAAGAUGCUGCUCCAAGUGAAGAAAACCUCAGCUCCCCCACUGAUAUGUCCCUUGACCUUACCGAGGCCCUACCUAACACUAGUUCUGAACCUACAACCCCUGAUGCCACUACCUCUCCACCCUUCACCUGUCCUGAUUCACAGACUACACAAACAAACACCAGCGAUGACCCUGCUGACCCUGUUACCAGCCCCUCCUCUCAAUCCAGUGUUCCAUUCAGUCAUACCCGAAUUGCUUCAGCAGAAAUAGACAAACCCUUCCGCAAGCCUCGUGUGAAGACACCCCCAUAUUCACCUUUACUGUCUUCACCCCUCCCCAAGCAGACGAGCACGCCCCCGCCCACCCCAGAGCAUACACCUUUAAAAGCCAAGCUUGAUAGCAUAGAUAGGUCUCCCCUUGAUACACCUCCAGUAACACCAGAGUGUACAGCCAUGACUCUAAGCACAGAGGUAGACCAACCGUCCACAUCGCUGGACCAAACAGAGCACUCAGAGUACCCAGGUGGGGCUGCAGACGCUGGUAGUCCGUCUCAGGACAGGAGGCCCUUGACAAACUUGGGAAACACGCAGGACGGACAUGGGGCGGGGGACGUUGAUGAUGAUGGAUUUGAGGUAAAUAAAGAAGCAGACAAGAACAGCGAGGAUGACGAUGAGUUGGAGUCAGAUGAAGAAGAGCUGCUGAGAGUGAUGGCUCGUUGUAAUCCCAUUUUUAUCACAUUUAGUAAGUGAUGUCACUAUAAUAUUGCGGGACUGAGUGUGACAGUGCGGACGACAGAGAAUGGAAGAGGUUAGGUGAAGAUGGAUGACAGCGGACACGUCAUCGAUAAAAGAAGACAUGCAUCAUUUCACACACUGUAUACUGUAUAUGUAAACAUAAACAUUUAAUAACACUCAAUUAUAAGACAUAAUGUUGAUCCAUUUCAACCAUAUAGUUAGCCUAGAUAACAGGAACAGUAAAAAGAAGAGCCUGAAUCAGUAAUGAAUCAAAUAUAUUGUCUGUGAAUCUUUACAAAUAAUAAUGAUAUUGUGUUUUUUUUAUUAAAGGUAAAUCCACAUAAAAUGAAAACUGCUGCACUUUUCUCAAUGGGAUUAAAGUUCCAUGCA